Molecule: ribosomal RNA, 250 nt
Filed under: uncultured bacterium
Lineage: Bacteria
Description: partial 16S ribosomal RNA
Rfam family: Bacterial small subunit ribosomal RNA
Source: RNAcentral
AGACCGCGAGGUAGAGCAAAUACUCAAAAAAACAAUCUCAGUUCAGACUGCAGGCUGCAACUCGCCUGCACGAAGUCGGAAUUGCUAGUAAUCGUAGGUCAGCAUACUACGGUGAAUACGUUCCCGGGCCUUGUACACACCGCCCGUCAAACCAUGAGAGUUGGCAACACCCGAAGUCGGUAGUCUAACCGCAAGGAGGACGCCGCCGAAGGUGGGGUUGAUGAUUAGGGUUAAGUCGUAACAAGGUACC